AGUGAACGCUGGCGGUAGGCCUAACACAUGCAAGUCGAACGGCAGCACAGUAAGAGCUUGCUCUUACGGGUGGCGAGUGGCGGACGGGUGAGGAAUACAUCGGAAUCUACUUUUUCGUGGGGGAUAACGUAGGGAAACUUACGCUAAUACCGCAUACGACCUACGGGUGAAAGCAGGGGAUCUUCGGACCUUGCGCGAUUGAAUGAGCCGAUGUCGCAUUAGCUAGUUGGCGGGGUAAGGGCCCACCAAGGCGACGAUCCGUAGCUGGUCUGAGAGGAUGAUCAGCCACACUGGAACUGAGACACGGUCCAGACUCCUACGGGAGGCAGCAGUGGGGAAUAUUCGACAAUGGGCGCAAGCCUGAUCCAGCCAUACCGCGUGGGUGAAGAAGGCCUUCGGGUUGUAAAGCCCUGUUGUUGGGAAAGAAAAGCAGCAGGUUAAUCCCCCGCUGUUCUGACGGUACCCAAAGAAUAAGCACCGGCUAACUUCGUG
This 492-nucleotide ribosomal RNA is filed under the name uncultured bacterium. RNAcentral's name for it is "partial 16S ribosomal RNA". It matches the Rfam family "Bacterial small subunit ribosomal RNA", at positions 29 to 507 of the family's 1533-position model. The record is from RNAcentral.